Molecule: ribosomal RNA, 253 nt
Filed under: uncultured bacterium
Lineage: Bacteria
Description: partial 16S ribosomal RNA
Rfam family: Bacterial small subunit ribosomal RNA
Source: RNAcentral
UACGAAGGGGGCUAGCGUUGUUCGGAAUUACUGGGCGUAAAGGGCGCGUAGGCGGUGUGUCAAGUCAGGCGUGAAAGCCCCGGGCUCAACCUGGGAACCGCGCUUGAGACUGGCACGCUCGAGUUCGGGAGAGGAUGGUGGAAUUCCCAGUGUAGAGGUGAAAUUCGUAGAUAUUGGGAAGAACACCAGUGGCGAAGGCGGCUCACUGGCCCGUAACUGACGCUGAGGUGCGAAAGCGUGGGGAGCAAACAGG